Molecule: ribosomal RNA, 1234 nt
Filed under: Aliivibrio wodanis
Lineage: Bacteria; Pseudomonadati; Pseudomonadota; Gammaproteobacteria; Vibrionales; Vibrionaceae
Description: bacterial SSU rRNA
Rfam family: Bacterial small subunit ribosomal RNA
Source: RNAcentral
CGAGCGGCGGACGGGUGAGUAAUGCCUGGGAAUAUGCCUUAGUGUGGGGGAUAACUAUUGGAAACGAUAGCUAAUACCGCAUAAUGUCUUCGGACCAAAGAGGGGGAUCUUCGGACCUCUCGCGCUAAGAUUAGCCCAGGUGAGAUUAGCUUGUUGGUGAGGUAAGAGCUCACCAAGGCGACGAUCUCUAGCUGGUCUGAGAGGAUGAUCAGCCACACUGGAACUGAGACACGGUCCAGACUCCUACGGGAGGCAGCAGUGGGGAAUAUUGCACAAUGGGCGAAAGCCUGAUGCAGCCAUGCCGCGUGUAUGAAGAAGGCCUUCGGGUUGUAAAGUACUUUCAGUCGUGAGGAAGGGUGUGUAGUUAAUAGCUGCACAUCUUGACGUUAGCGACAGAAGAAGCACCGGCUAACUCCGUGCCAGCAGCCGCGGUAAUACGGAGGGUGCGAGCGUUAAUCGGAAUUACUGGGCGUAAAGCGCAUGCAGGUGGUUCAUUAAGUCAGAUGUGAAAGCCCGGGGCUCAACCUCGGAACCGCAUUUGAAACUGGUGAACUAGAGUGCUGUAGAGGGGGGUAGAAUUUCAGGUGUAGCGGUGAAAUGCGUAGAGAUCUGAAGGAAUACCAGUGGCGAAGGCGGCCCCCUGGACAGACACUGACACUCAGAUGCGAAAGCGUGGGGAGCAAACAGGAUUAGAUACCCUGGUAGUCCACGCCGUAAACGAUGUCUACUUGGAGGUUGUGGCCUUGAGCCGUGGCUUUCGGAGCUAACGCGUUAAGUAGACCGCCUGGGGAGUACGGUCGCAAGAUUAAAACUCAAAUGAAUUGACGGGGGCCCGCACAAGCGGUGGAGCAUGUGGUUUAAUUCGAUGCAACGCGAAGAACCUUACCUACUCUUGACAUCCAGAGAAUUCGCUAGAGAUAGCUUAGUGCCUUCGGGAGCUCUGAGACAGGUGCUGCAUGGCUGUCGUCAGCUCGUGUUGUGAAAUGUUGGGUUAAGUCCCGCAACGAGCGCAACCCUUAUCCUUGUUUGCCAGCACGUAAUGGUGGGAACUCCAGGGAGACUGCCGGUGAUAAACCGGAGGAAGGUGGGGAAGAAGUCAAGUCAUCAUGGCCCUUACGAGUAGGGCUACACACGUGCUACAAUGGCGCAUACAGAGGGCUGCAAGCUAGCGAUAGUGAGCGAAUCCCAAAAAGUGCGUCGUAGUCCGGAUCGGAGUCUGCAACUCGACUCCGUG